This 216-nucleotide non-coding RNA is filed under the name Domibacillus antri. RNAcentral's name for it is "T-box sequence". It matches the Rfam family "T-box leader". From Rfam's summary of the family: Uncharged tRNA acts as the effector for transcription antitermination of genes in the T-box leader family. T-boxes are found upstream of many aminoacyl-tRNA synthetase genes and some amino acid biosynthetic genes usually in Gram-positive bacteria. The record is from RNAcentral. Lineage: Bacteria; Bacillati; Bacillota; Bacilli; Caryophanales; Bacillaceae.
AAACAAGCGUUGAACGGAAUAAGUAGUCUUGCUGUCCCUGUUACAAAGAGAGCUUUCGGCCGGUGAAAGAAAGCACAAACAGCGGGAUGAAUUACCUCCCGGAGCUUUCGCCGUGAACAGUUAGUAGCGGAUGACGUCACCGUCGUUACCGGUUUGAGUGGAGAAAAUCUUUUUUCUCAAGUUUUGGGUGGUACCGCGCGUAUAAGCGUCCCUGCA